UUUUAGAGUUUNGAUUCCCGCUCAGGACGAUCGCUGGCGGCGUGCCUAAUACAUGCAAGUCGAACGCUUCUUUUUCCACCGGAGCUUGCUCCACCGGAAAAAGAGGAGUGGCGAACGGGUGAGUAACACGUGGGUAACCUGCCCAUCAGAAGGGGAUAACACUUGGAAACAGGUGCUAAUACCGUAUAACAAUCGAAACCGCAUGGUUUUGAUUUGAAAGGCGCUUUCGGGUGUCGCUGAUGGAUGGACCCGCGGUGCAUUAGCUAGUUGGUGAGGUAACGGCUCACCAAGGCCACGAUGCAUAGCCGACCUGAGAGGGUGAUCGGCCACAUUGGGACUGAGACACGGCCCAAACUCCUACGGGAGGCAGCAGUAGGGAAUCUUCGGCAAUGGACGAAAGUCUGACCGAGCAACGCCGCGUGAGUGAAGAAGGUUUUCGGAUCGUAAAACUCUGUUGUUAGAGAAGAACAAGGAUGAGAGUAACUGUUCAUCCCUUGACGGUAUCUAACCAGAAAGCCACGGCUAACUACGUGCCAGCAGCCGCGGUAAUACGUAGGUGGCAAGCGUUGUCCGGAUUUAUUGGGCGUAAAGCGAGCGCAGGCGGUUUCUUAAGUCUGAUGUGAAAGCCCCCGGCUCAACCGGGGAGGGUCAUUGGAAACUGGGAGACUUGAGUGCAGAAGANGAGANGA
This 689-nucleotide ribosomal RNA is filed under the name Enterococcus faecium. RNAcentral describes it as "bacterial SSU rRNA". It matches the Rfam family "Bacterial small subunit ribosomal RNA", at positions 1 to 663 of the family's 1533-position model. The record is from RNAcentral. Lineage: Bacteria; Bacillati; Bacillota; Bacilli; Lactobacillales; Enterococcaceae.